This is a long non-coding RNA of Gorilla gorilla gorilla (western lowland gorilla), 564 nucleotides long. RefSeq lists it as uncharacterized. The transcript is spliced from 2 exons. The record is from RefSeq and is a predicted model, not a curated record. Lineage: Eukaryota; Metazoa; Chordata; Mammalia; Primates; Hominidae.
GCAGAAUUCUCCAGGCCUGAAAUGAAAGCACAGGUGAGCCUCCUGUGGCCGUGCGGGUACCCACCCCCGCCUCGGGGCCCGAGGGGGACGCACAGGGGACUGCCUCACGGCCAGGUGCUCCAGCCCGCUCAGGAUCUGCAUGGCUGUCGCGAAGUUUCUCUGCUCAUAGCAAGAUUUUGCAAUCAGCAAAAAUUUGGACAGCAAGUUCACCUGCAGCUGCAAUAAGAAAAUGACACAUUCAACGUCUUCUGGUUUAAGAUGAACAAAGGGAAUAUUUGAGAACCUGUUAAAAUCACCCAUCUCCAAGACACAAGAGCGUGCACUGCAUCACGUGUGUGGAAAGGAAGCGGCUGUGUGGACGCAGGGCCCCUGUGCAGCUGAAGGCGCCUCAUAUGAUCCUGGGCUCACCCUGACUGCGGCCCCAGCUCUCCUGCCUGAGAGCCUUGAGAGGAGCUUGAGAAGUGUUUACCGGAUACACUUUCUACGCUGACGUCUCAGUCUGUUUCUUCAUCGGUUUAAGUAGAUGCAAAGUAUGUAAUUUUUAGAUAAAACUAUUUCGCCACA